RNAcentral lists this long non-coding RNA (367 nucleotides) under Urocitellus parryii (Arctic ground squirrel). RNAcentral's name for it is "lncRNA (ENSUPAG00010023173.1)". The record is from RNAcentral. Lineage: Eukaryota; Metazoa; Chordata; Mammalia; Rodentia; Sciuridae.
UGUUAGGUUGGAGCUCUUUUACCUGAAGGGUCCUUUGCAGCAGGGGGUAGAAAGUGGGGGGUGGGGGUGAAGAGCAUCAGAGAAAAGAUCAAAAGCAAGAAUUCUUGGCUGGGAGGUGCCACAGUGCAGAAGGCAUUCCACGCCACUUGCUGACCCCUCUCAGCAAUUCUAAGUGAUCUUUUUCAGUCCGAGUGGUUUUAGGACUCGAGUGAAAAGUGGAAGACCAGGUGGGAUGGUCUGUGUUGAAGACUUGCCUGUUGAGCUGCCUGGAUGAUCUUCAUCAAACAACCCUCAUCUUUCUGGAUCCCAGUUUAAAUAUGCUUAAAAUGGUGAAGCUGAGCUGAUCUCCAAUUUCCCUUCUGGUCUG